AUACUUACCUGGUAGGGGAGAUAGCAUGAUUACGGAAGUGGUUUUCCCAGGGCGAGGCUCACCCAUUUCAUUCUGGAUGUAGACCUCUGCGAUUUCCCCAAAUGUGGGAAACUCGACUGCAUAAUUUGUUGUAGUGGGGGACCACAUUGGUGCUAUUUCCUG
Small nuclear RNA from Molossus molossus (Pallas's mastiff bat), 162 nucleotides. RefSeq annotates it as U1 spliceosomal RNA. NCBI's taxonomy places the organism in Eukaryota, Metazoa, Chordata, Mammalia, Chiroptera, Molossidae. The transcript has a single exon. The record is from RefSeq and is a predicted model, not a curated record.